RNAcentral lists this ribosomal RNA (250 nucleotides) under uncultured prokaryote. RNAcentral's name for it is "partial 16S ribosomal RNA". It matches the Rfam family "Bacterial small subunit ribosomal RNA", at positions 524 to 774 of the family's 1533-position model. The record is from RNAcentral.
UACGGAGGAUGCAAGCGUUAUCCGGAUUCAUUGGGUUUAAAGGGUGCGCAGGCGGGCUUUUAAGUCAGUGGUGAAAGCUGCCGCUUAACGGUAGUCUUGCCAUUGAUACUGAGAGUCUUGAGUUUGGAUGAGGUAGGCGGAAUGUGCAGUGUAGCGGUGAAAUGCAUAGAGAUUGCACAGAACACCGAUUGCGAAGGCAGCUUACUAAUCCACGACUGACGCUGAGGCACGAAAGCGUGGGGAUCAAACA